CGACGCCACUACGAGAAAGGAGCCGGUGGCCGCUUGGUUCCUGCGCAGAUGUUGGGGCUAUAGGCGCCGCGCGGUCGGCUGGUUGUGGCUCGCAGGGAGGACACCCGGGCUCGCCUUCCCCACGCUGCCUCCGCCUCUGCCAUGAUUCCGGUGUCGCUGGUGGUGGUGGUGGUGGGCGGCUGGACUGCCGUCUACCUGACCGACUUGGUGCUAAAGUCAUCUGUGUACUUUAAGCAUUCUUAUGAAGACUGGCUGGAAAACAACGGAUUGAGCAUCUCCCCUUUUCACAUAAGAUGGCAGACUGCUAUUUUCAAUCGUGCCUUUUACAGUUGGGGACGGCGGAAAGCGAGGAUGCUUUACCAGUGGUUCAAUUUUGGAAUGGUGUUUGGCGUAAUUGCCAUGUUCAGCUCUUUUUUUCUACUGGGGAAAACGCUGAUGCAGACUUUAGCACAAAUGAUGGCUGACUCUCCCUCUUCCUCUUCCUCUUCCUCUUCUUCCUCUUCCUCCUCUUCUUCCUCCUCUUCAUCCUCUUCCUCUUCCUCCUCCUCUUCCUCACUUCACAACGAACAGGUGCUGCAAGUCGUGGUUCCUGGUAUAAAUUUACCCGUCAACCAACUGACCUACUUCUUUGCUGCAGUCCUCAUUAGUGGUGUCGUACAUGAAAUUGGACAUGGAAUAGCAGCUAUCAGGGAACAAGUUCGAUUUAAUGGCUUUGGGAUUUUUCUCUUCAUUAUUUAUCCUGGAGCAUUUGUUGAUCUGUUCACCACUCAUUUGCAACUUAUAUCACCAGUCCAGCAGCUAAGGAUAUUUUGUGCAGGUAUCUGGCAUAAUUUCGUCCUUGCACUCCUGGGUAUUUUAGCUCUUGUUCUCCUCCCUGUAAUCCUCUUGCCGUUUUACUACACUGGAGUCGGGGUGCUUAUCACUGAAGUUGCUGAGGACUCACCUGCCAUUGGACCCCGAGGCCUUUUUGUGGGAGACCUUGUCACCCAUCUACAGGAUUGUCCUGUUACUAAUGUACAAGAUUGGAAUGAAUGUCUAGAUACCAUCGCCUAUGAGCCCCAAAUUGGUUACUGUAUAAGUGCAUCAACUUUACAGCAGUUAAGCUUCCCAGUUAGAGCAUACAAACGGCUAGAUGGUUCGACUGAAUGCUGUAACAAUCACAGCCUUACAGAUGUGUGCUUUUCCUAUAGAAAUAAUUUUAAUAAGCGUUUGCAUACCUGUCUACCUGCCCGGAAAGCAAUUGAAGCCACCCAAGUUUGUAGAACCAAUAAAGACUGUAAAAAAACCUCAAGUUCAAGUUUCUGUAUAAUACCUUCUUUGGAAACUCAUACUCGCUUAAUAAAAGUGAAACACCCACCUCAGAUUGAUAUGUUGUAUGUAGGACAUCCACUGCACCUUCACUAUACAGUGAGCAUCACCAGUUUUAUCCCACGUUUCAACUUUCUAAGCAUAGAUCUGCCUGUGGUUGUGGAGACAUUUGUCAAGUACCUGAUUUCCCUCUCAGGAGCUCUGGCUAUUGUUAAUGCAGUGCCCUGCUUUGCUUUGGAUGGACAGUGGAUUUUAAACUCUUUCCUAGAUGCUACUCUUACCUCAGUGAUUGGAGACAGCGAUGUCAAAGACCUGAUAGGAUUUUUCAUCUUGCUUGGUGGCAGUGUGCUUUUGGCUGCCAAUGUGACCCUGGGACUCUGGAUGGUUACAGCACGGUAAUAUUUGCAUUCAUCUGAUAGAAUCUCUGAGUUACAGUAUACAAUAUUGAAAACCUUACUUGUUAUGACAUAUAAAGUAUUUCCUUAAAAUUACAUUUUAGCCAAAAACUUUGCUCUUCCUAUAUCCAGAGUUUCUGAACUCUGGGAUGGGGGAUAAACAGAAGAAAUGAAAGGCAUAGUCCCUGAUUACAUUCUAGUUUUGAAGACUGAACCUACAAACUUCAGAUGCUUGUGGAACAAUUUCUUAGCAAGUACAAAUUUAUAUUAAACCAUUUUUGUGUGACUCCAUAUCACAUGGAUAUAAUGUAAAGGAAAACAGAUUGGGUGGGAUUAAUUGGGAAAACCUUGAAAAAGCAUCGUCAAUCCAGAUUUGAAGGAGACCAGACUUUGGCCAAGUGGAAAGAGCAAUCAGAAGAAUGAAUUAUUUUGAGGAUCUGAAGAAAGUGUUCUGUGUUGUCACAUUGUUCAGCAGUGAAACUUUUAUUUUCAGUGUUCCUAUUCUGCGUUGUUUACAUUUUUGAGUGUUUUUUAAAGUCAUCUAUAAUCUGUAAAGAAUGUAUAUAUUUUCAGCAUCUCAGUUUGAAAAGACAUGCAGUUAAACUUGACCUUUUGAUAUUCGUUCUUAAGGUCAUUAUCUGUCUAAAAGUAAAUUGUAAACAUGUGGUUCAUGGAUAUGUGGCUCUCAGUCAUCAGUUUGUCCAGUAGUAUUUAUUGAAUGUCCACAUCAUAAUGGUGCAUAGGUAUUUUUUCUAUAGAUCCUUCAACUGAGCUGUAAUUCAUUCUUAGGCUCUAACUUGAAGAUAACAGUUGCUGGCAUUUGAUGUUUAGCAAUAAAAGAAUGUGUACCAGCA
Molecule: RNA transcript, 2557 nt
Organism: Camelus dromedarius (Arabian camel)
Lineage: Eukaryota; Metazoa; Chordata; Mammalia; Artiodactyla; Camelidae
Gene: MBTPS2
Gene name: membrane bound transcription factor peptidase, site 2
Exons: 12
Source: RefSeq, a predicted model, not a curated record